RNAcentral lists this unclassified non-coding RNA (1954 nucleotides) under Leishmania donovani. Its description in RNAcentral is "gene:LdHU3.30.0120(CDS-product:hypothetical_prote in_conserved)". Lineage: Eukaryota; Euglenozoa; Kinetoplastea; Trypanosomatida; Trypanosomatidae. The record is from RNAcentral.
AAGAGCGUGCGCGGGUGACACUCGCCAUCUCACCUCGCCUCGCCUUGCCUUGCCGCCACCGCACGUGCUGCAAGAUUCCGCUCUUCUUCCUCAGCCGCGCAGUGCGGGCGCACACACACACACACACACACACACACACACACACACAGGCACACGACCGAAUCCUGAGGCAGCUUUGUACACACCUACGCGCCGACGCGCCGCGCGUGCGCAUUUUCUGUUGCUGUUCCCCUUCGCGCUUGCCCUCAGUGGCCCCGCGGAAGUGGGGCGCCUCGAAUGGAUGCGCGCCGUGGCUGUGCGUCUGUCCCGUCCGGUGCCGUCCUCGCCAUGGAGUCGAGUGAACCACAUUGCCAGUAUGAACCCGGCCAACGUCAGUAGCUAUCGCCCUUCGAGCAGGAGCCUGCAGCCAGGCUACUGCCCUCUGAGCACCUCACACCCGGCGUUUGGUCUGAAACAGGCUCGAGUCCCCUCGCAGAGGAACCGCCACCGCCUCAUCUCUACAGAGCACCCCGCCUUCGGCACACGCAAGACGUUCUCGAGCUCCGACUGCUUCGAAGGGCCAGUCAGCGUGUCUGGUAUCUUUCUCUCGAUUGACCCGAACUUCACAAUGGGUGGGCAGGACAGCAUGAACCCCAAUGCGCAGAUUACCACCCGUGACGCGGCAGGCAAUAUGGCCCGUGCGCGCUACCGCUGCCACAUCGAGUCAAGCGGUGGCAUGAAGCUGGAGAUGCUCGUGCGCGUGCAGAUGGGAUGGAUCUCGCCCCGGGUGGUCUUCUCGCAGAUCCCAUACGUCAUCCACCUCGGCAAAGGCAUCGACGUCAGCAUCCCGUUCGUGCUUCACUUCACCAUGGUCUCCCUGCUCGACGAGCACGGCGACAACACCGGCAGCUUCUUGUACUUCAGUGGCACCCCUAUGCUGGGCUUCUCUUCAGGCUUUAGCCGCAUCAAGGGAGGUAAGAUGGUGCUCAACCCCACCAAGGUGGUGGACCCGUACGUGGAGGUGUUCGACUUUAUCGGGCACGUUCACUAUCGUCAGAUGGGCUUCGUGCUCUUCAAAUGCCUUGGCUGCCUGCUCUGCUUCCUGGCCUGCAUUCCCGCGACACAGCGCAUGCUGCAGUGCGUCCUGCCCGAUCCGUUCCACCGACACAGCGAAAAGCCCCUGUAAAGCAAGAGCGAGAAAGGGAACGGCGCCAGUAGCGCGCGUCGCUCUUCGUGCAUAGCAUAAGCAUACGUUGCCGGCGCUCUGCUUGGACGACUCAAACAGCUUCUCCAGUUGCAUCUCCUUACUCCCUCUUGCUCAGGCUACAAGCGGCGGUGCCAGCGACAACUAGAGUAGAUACGCCGGACUCCUCUGCUAGACCGGCGUCUCGGGCUGACUGCAGGCGUUGCUCCGCAGCACACUUCCCAGAGCGCAUCCUGUAGCGAAGCUCACAGUAAGAUCUUCUCCCCCUCAACUCCACAACAAAAGAAAACCGGCGAAGGCGAGGAAAACAAUGCUCCCCUCUGCUCACACGCAUCCUGGGAGGUCCACCUGUCUCCGCGCCCCAUUCGCUCCUCAUCCUGUGCGUGUGUGUGCAGGGAGGUGAGAGGAUGGGGGGAGGGCGGGUGGGCGAGCCAAGCUGGCGCACUUCUGCAGCUACCUGCGCAUCGCACAGAACGGUGACGCUCGGCAACGCAGUGGGCACGUUGAAUGCCCGUGCCGGGAGGAAGUACCGCGACGCUCGCGCACGAGUGUAGGAGUGACGCAGCGCCCAUGAUUGGCGCACACCCACGCAGAGAGAAAACGACUACAUUCGUCGACUUCCACACACGCCCCCGCCCUCCCUCUUUCUCCCAUGCGCUCGGGCUGCCCAAAACUCAACCGCUUCGUUUUGUCGACUUUGUGAUCGCCUCCGCUGUGCUUCAUUUCUCCUUGCCUUGCCACCUCUCCUUGCCCCUCACUCACGCCAUACAG